This 292-nucleotide ribosomal RNA is filed under the name uncultured bacterium. RNAcentral's name for it is "partial 16S ribosomal RNA". It matches the Rfam family "Bacterial small subunit ribosomal RNA", at positions 505 to 796 of the family's 1533-position model. The record is from RNAcentral.
GUGCCAGCAGCCGCGGUAAUACAGAGGGUGCGAGCGUUAAUCGGAAUUACUGGGCGUAAAGCGCACGUAGGUGGUUUUGUAAGUCGGAUGUGAAAUCCCCGGGCUUAACCCGGGAACUGCAUUCGAGACUGCAUUACUCGAGUAUGGGAGAGGGAAGCGGAAUUUCCGGUGUAGCGGUGAAAUGCGUAGAUAUCGGAAGGAACAUCAGUGGCGAAGGCGGCUUCCUGGCCCAAUACUGACACUCAUGUGCGAAAGCGUGGGGAGCAAACAGGAUUAGAUACCCUCGUAGUCC